RNAcentral lists this transfer RNA (71 nucleotides) under Cordylochernes scorpioides. RNAcentral's name for it is "tRNA-Gly". It matches the Rfam family "tRNA". Rfam says of the family: Transfer RNA (tRNA) molecules are approximately 80 nucleotides in length. Their secondary structure includes four short double-helical elements and three loops (D, anti-codon, and T loops). Lineage: Eukaryota; Metazoa; Arthropoda; Arachnida; Pseudoscorpiones; Chernetidae. The record is from RNAcentral.
GCAUCGGUGGUUCAGUGAUUGAAUGCUCGUCUGCCACGCGGGCGGCCCGGGUUCGAUUCCUGGCCGAGGUU